Molecule: RNA transcript, 4876 nt
Organism: Gorilla gorilla gorilla (western lowland gorilla)
Lineage: Eukaryota; Metazoa; Chordata; Mammalia; Primates; Hominidae
Gene: TTYH1
Gene name: tweety family member 1
Exons: 12
Source: RefSeq, a predicted model, not a curated record
CUCCCCUGAGCCCAGCCAGACCCCGCGCCGCCCGCGCCCCGCUCGACUCCGGAGGCUCCCGCAGCCCCGGCGUCCGCCCCGCUGCCCCCUCCCCCGGGGGCCAUGGGGGCGCCCCCGGGCUACCGGCCCUCAGCUUGGGUGCAUCUCCUCCACCAGCUGCCCCGCGCCGACUUCCAGCUCCGCCCGGUGCCCAGCGUUUUCGCGCCCCAAGAGCAGGAAUACCAGCAGGCCUUGUUGCUGGUGGCGGCCUUGGCGGGCCUGGGCUUGGGCCUGAGCCUCAUUUUCAUCGCUGUCUACCUCAUCCGCUUCUGCUGCUGCCGGCCCCCCGAGCCCCCCGGGUCCAAGAUCCCCUCGCCCGGGGGAGGCUGCGUCACCUGGAGCUGCAUUGUCGCCCUUCUCGCCGGCUGCACUGGCAUUGGCAUCGGUUUCUAUGGCAACAGUGAGACCAGUGAUGGGGUGUCCCAGCUCAGCUCCGCGCUGCUGCACGCCAACCACACACUCAGCACCAUUGACCACCUGGUGUUGGAGACGGUGGAGAGGCUGGGCGAGGCGGUGAGGACAGAGCUGACCACCCUGGAGGAGGUGCUCGAGCCGCGCACGGAGCUGGUGGCUGCCACCCGAGGGGCUCGACGGCAGGUGGAGGCUGUGGCCCAGCAGCUGCAGGGGCUGGCCUUCUGGCAGGGAGUGCCCCUGAGCCCCCUGCAGGUGGCUGAAAAUGUGUCCUUCGUGGAGGAGUACAGGUGGCUGGCCUACGUCCUCCUGCUGCUCCUGGAGCUGCUGGUCUGCCUCUUCACCCUCCUGGGCCUGGCGAAGCAGAGCAAGUGGCUUGUGAUCGUGAUGACAGUCAUGAGUCUCCUGGUUCUCGUCCUGAGCUGGGGCUCCAUGGGCCUGGAGGCAGCCACGGCCGUGGGCCUCAGUGACUUCUGCUCCAAUCCAGACCCUUAUGUUCUGAACCUGACCCAGGAGGAGACAGGGCUCAGCUCAGACAUCCUGAGCUAUUAUUUCCUCUGCAACCAGGCCGUCUCCAACCCCUUCCAACAGAGGCUGACUCUGUCCCAGCGAGCUCUGGCCAACAUCCACUCCCAGCUGCUGGGCCUGGAGCGAGAAGCUGUGCCUCAGUUCCCUUCAGCGCAGAAGCCUCUGCUGUCCUUGGAGGAGACUCUGAAUGUGACAGAAGGAAAUUUCCACCAGUUGGUGGCACUGCUACACUGCCGCGGCCUGCACAAGAGGCUGCCGCUUAGUGAGUUCUGGAGCAAGACUGCCUGGGUUCCAGUCCUACCUCUUGACCAAGGGCAAGUCACCUAACUUCUCUGUACCUCAGUUAGUUCCCUCACUUAUAAACCUGGGAUUGCAAGAGUGGGCACCUGUCCAGCUCCCCUGCGGCGUGUGCUGUUCAUACACUGGACAUGCAGGGGCGGGCAGGGCGCCCAGGAGGAAAGAUAUCUGGUGUCCUGCGGGCUCCAGUUUGGGCUCUGCCGCAGGCUGCACGGCCAUAGGCAGGUGAGCAUGGCUGACUCUGCUUCCCACCCGUACCGUGAGGAAGGACGAGUUUUUUUUUUUUUUUUUUUUUCCACUGGAUGGCUGUGAGGAUUGAAAAAAAAAAUCCCCUUAUAAAACAGUAGGAGCUGGCCGGGCGCGGAGGCUCACACCUGUAAUCCCAGCACUUUGGGAGGCCCAGGCGGGUGGAUCACCUGAGGUCAGGAGUUCAAGACCAGUCUGGCCAACAUGGUGAUACCCCGUCUCUACUAAAAAUAGAAAAAGUUAGCCGGGCAUGGUGGUGGGCGCCUAUAAUCCCAACUACUCGGGAGGCUGAGGCAGGAGAAUCGCUUGAAUCCACGAGGCAGAGGUUGCAGUGAGCCGAGAUUGUGCCACUGCACUCCAGCCUGGGCAACAAGAGCGAAACUCUGUCACAAACAAAACAAACAAAACCAGUAAGAGCUGUUCUAAAACACACACCCGAGGAUGCCUUUCCCCGGCCAGUCUUCCCAUCAAAGACCUCACAUGUGCAUAGCUUCACCAAGUACCUGACCCUGUUGCAUUUCACAGAUGGUAACUCAUCGAUGCCUCAUAACAAUGCUAUGAAGAAGGAACUAUGAUUAUCCCACCUAACAGGUUAGAAGAUGACGAGCAGAGUUGAGGGACCUUCCCAAGGUCACACGGCCAGCCAGCCCGUGCACACUGAGGAGAGAGGGACCUUCCGGAGGGCCCCGCCCUCUGCCCCCCACAGCCAGGCAGUUGCCCAGUUUUGUCCUUUCUGCUUCUGGAAUGUCUUCAUCCAUCUACUCUCAAUGCCCAAUGCCCAAUGCCCAAUGCCCCCGCUGCAGCUGAGGUCUCGUUCUCUCGCCUGCAGAAGGAAGCAUGGCCCCCUCCCCAUCUGUCCCCCCAUGGACCCUAGAAUAGGGCUGCCAGAUUCAGCAAACAGCAAACCACUCUGCUAUAAGUACGCCCGGUGCAAUGCUGGGGAGAUACUUAUACUAGAAAAUUAUGUAUUGGGCAUCCGAUAUUCAAAUGUAACUGGAAGUCCUGAAUUUGAUCUGGCAACCCUAACCAAGAGGGAUUUGUCUACACCAUCGCAUGGAUCUGAGCUUUCCCUGGUCCGGCUCAGACAGACCCCUUCUGUGGCUCCCACUGCCCCCCACCCUUCUGGAACUGGCAUUCCAAAAAGGGAGUGGGGAGUAAGCACUGAAGCCAUGCUCAGAAUUGCUGACUAUUGAGCUGAGAAAGGCUGGGCCCCCACCCAGCCCAGGGCUGCCCUGAUCUUUUGCAUAAGGAUAAACUGGGGUUCAGGCACUUUUCUGUGGCCUAGGCAGAAACUGGGCUGGAAUACAGGCCCCCAGACUCCUUUGUGGAGGGAGGGAAGGGAAGGAAGAGGACAGAUCACUCUACCCUUCCCUACUACUGCACCAUGAGAUCCUGGGUCUCCAUCUCCCCUGUCAGGGUGUCAGGGUCCUCACAGAUGAAAAUCAAGAAUAAGCAGCGGGGCGGGCACGGUGGCUCACGCCUGUAAUCCCAGCACUUUGGGAGACCAAGGUGGGCGGAUCACCAGACGUCAGGAGUUUGAGACCAGCCUGGCCAGCAUGGUGAAAUCCCAUCUCUACUAAAAAUACAAAAAAACUAGCUGGGCGUGGUGGCGCACCCCUGUAUUCCUAGCUACUCAGGAGGCUGAGGCACGAGAAUUGCUUGAACCUGGGCGGUGGAGGUUGCAGUGAGCUGAGAUCGAGCCACUGCACUCCAGCCAGGGUGACAGAGCGAGAAUCCGUCUCAAAAAAAAAAAAAAAAAAAAAAAAAUAGAAGGGGGCUGGGGAUGGGUGCCUCGUGCCUAUAAACCCAGCACUUUGGGAGGCCCAGUGGGGCAGAUCAGAACUCCUUGAGCUCAGGAGUUCAAGACCAGCCUGGCCAACAUGGUGAAACCCCAUCUCUAUUAAAAAAAAAAAAAAAUCAACAAUAAGGGACAUCAGGGUUGAGGAGGAAGGAGGGUGGGCGCUGGAGCCUAAGAGAAUCAGCUCCAAUAUCACUUCUGCCCCUUCCAGACAGUGUGACUCUGGGCAAGUAGCUUGCCUUCUCUGGGCUGCAACUUCUUUCCACCAUUGCAAGAGGCGGCAGCGUGAGAGGGUCAGUGUCUGCCUGGCAGGGCUGUUGUGAGGAUGAAGGACAGUGUGCAUGUACCAAUACUCUCAAAACAGAGCCUCCAUUGCCCCGACAGGUCCCUACCCCCACCCUCACUGGCUUAGUAACAGACACCCCACCUCAACCAGGUGCUCCUGCCAGAAACUCAGGCUCUUAGCUCCCACAACCAUUCUCAGAACAAGUUCUGUUGGCCCUUCCUCUGAAACCUAUAUGGACUCCCACCGCUGCUCCUACCACCAUUGCUGUGCCCCGGUCCCCGCAUCCUAGCCACCAUGACCACAGGGGCCUCUUCCCUGUCCCCCCUCGCCUACCCCCGUCUGUCCUCCAUGCAGCAGCCAGCCAGCCGGGUGAUCCUUUUAAAACACAAUCCGAUCAAGUUCUUCCUCUGCUUAAAACGCUCAGUGAUUCCCCUUAGACAUGGAUUAAAAUCCCUGUUCCUCGCCCUGACCUACAAGGGCCUGGGUGGUCAGUCCUGGAUAUGUCUGCCUCUGGCCUCAGCCCCUCCCAGCUUCCUCUGCACAGCCCUCUGCCUGGCUCUUUCCUGGAGGACCCAUCCCUGCUAGUGGGGUCACCCGACCUACCCCUGCCCUGCACUGACCCCCGCCCUCCUACCUCGUUGCACACCAGCCUCUGAGAUGACCUUCUCGGUCCUGUUUACCAAAGUUUCCUGGUACUGGGGGCAGCGCCUGGGGCAGAGCAGGCUCUGUCAACCCCCACUGAAUACAUACGCUGUGCAGGUGCUUAGCACUCGGUGAAGGCCGUUUCUGCUGAUUUCUUGGGACGACAGUCAUCAGAGCCAGCAUUUGUUGGCAUGUUGAGUGUGUAUUGUGUGUGCGGUGUCAUCUUGAGCCACUGGUUGGUUCUCCUACGUGCUGUUCCACGUGCUUUAGGCCAGUGAUUCUGCCCCCAGGGACACCUGGCCGGGUGAGGAGUUCUGCCCCCAGGGACACCUGGCCGGGUGACGAGUUCUGCCCCCAGGGACACCUGGCCGGGUGACGAGUUCUGCCCCCAGGGACACCUGGCCGGGUGAGGAGUUCUGCCCCCAGGGACACCUGGCCGGGUGAGGAGUUCUGCCCCCAGGGACACCUGGCCGGGUGAAGAGUUCUGCUCCCAGGGACACUUGGCCGGGACUAUGGUGCAGCCCUGCGGGGCCUGUGCGAAGACGCCCUGGAAGGCCUGCUCUUCCUGCUGCUCUUCUCCCUGCUGUCCGCAGGAGCGCUGGCCACUGCCCUCUGCAGCCUGCCCCGAG